GUCCAGGGAUGGGAACCGAACCCACAAUGUUACGCUUACCGGGCAGAUGCCAUGUCCACUAGGCUACCCUGGA
Molecule: transfer RNA, 73 nt
Filed under: Cordylochernes scorpioides
Lineage: Eukaryota; Metazoa; Arthropoda; Arachnida; Pseudoscorpiones; Chernetidae
Description: tRNA-Thr
Source: RNAcentral